Molecule: long non-coding RNA, 742 nt
Filed under: Pongo abelii (Sumatran orangutan)
Lineage: Eukaryota; Metazoa; Chordata; Mammalia; Primates; Hominidae
Description: lincRNA
Source: RNAcentral
CCUGCUGCCAUCCAUGUAAGACGUGACUUGCUCCUCCUUGCCUUCUGCCAUGAUUGUGAAGCCUCCCCAGCCACUUGGAACUGAAGCAAACACUGCCAUUGCCACCGUUUUGCAGAUGAAGGUACUGAGAGUGAAGCAACUUGCCCAAACCUGACAAAAAUAACAGGCCAUAGCAUCAACAGCAGUGUCAAGAGCAUCAUAGCAUCGGGUGAUGACGGACAGAUGCCUCUGCUGCAGAGUUAUGCCCCCGCCCCAACACUCAGUUGGCAAUCAUCUGGAGAAGUCUGUCACAAUGGUCCCUGUCAACUUUUCUUUUAGUGGUUUCAGCAUCUGUCAAAAGUUCUUAUUUGAAUUUGCAUCCUAUCAAGGGCUGCAAAAUGGUGACUUUCUGACCAUAUUAUUGCAUCUACAUUCACAGCUGACGUUCUUCAAUAAAGAAAAGUUUUCCUUCAUCAAGUGGAACUAUGUAGUUAUGCUGAAAUUCAGUGUCUUCUAGAAAGACAUUAAAUCUUUAAUUAUUUUUAAUUCUCAAUUCUCAGAAUAACCAAUUCAUGUAAUAAUCACCUCCAGUAAUGGCAAAUGAGUUUUGUUUUGGAAGACAUUCUCUUUUCUGAGUUUAAUUAUAUACUUGUGGAGUUUUAUACAUUCAUAGUCAUUUUUAAAUGCUCAGGUUGUCUCACACUUGCAACUAUGUACUCUUCAACUAGAAUGCUACUAAACCCAGAUUAGGGCCUAGAUUAAA